Molecule: ribosomal RNA, 329 nt
Filed under: uncultured eukaryote
Lineage: Eukaryota
Description: partial 18S ribosomal RNA
Rfam family: Eukaryotic small subunit ribosomal RNA
Source: RNAcentral
CCCUUAGAUGUCCUGGGCCGCACGCGCGCUACACUGAGUGUCUGAGAUACGAGUCUGCCUGGUCCGGCAAGGUCUAGGUAAUCGCUAAAAGACACAUCAUGCUUGGGAUAGAUUAUUGCAAAUAUUAAUCUUGAACGAGGAAUUCCUAGUAAGCGCAAGUCAACAGCUUGCGUUGAUUACGUCCCUGCCCUUUGUACACACCGCCCGUCGCUCCUACCGAUUGGGUGUGCUGGUGAAAUGUUCGGAUCGGCCGUUUGUCGCGGUUUCCGCGUCAUGUGGCUGAGAAGUUCAUUAAACCCUCCCACCUAGAGGAAGGAGAAGUCGUAACA